Amphiprion ocellaris (clown anemonefish) is the source of this 2177-nucleotide long non-coding RNA. RefSeq lists it as uncharacterized. Lineage: Eukaryota; Metazoa; Chordata; Actinopteri; Pomacentridae. The transcript is spliced from 3 exons. The record is from RefSeq and is a predicted model, not a curated record.
UAUUCACUUCUACAGGAACCAGAACUGUUUAUGUUCCGUGUUUGCACCUUAAACCUGGAUUAUAUUCCACGAUGUGUACGCUGCCACUGAGGAAGGCUUGACAUUUACUAGUGUAAACAGCAGCAGUCAACACCAACCUGUUGUGUUUCCUGGAGAACCACUGGGGAAAUCAUAUGUUUUCACUGCAGGCUUCUAUUUACAUGGAACACAGUAGAUUCCAGAGUUUUUCCCACCCAUCCGGGGGAGGAGAAGCAGGUUCGGGGGCGUUGUCGGGGUUCGCAGGGAUCAGGUCAUUCGGCCAUGAGACGAGAUUAUCUCUGGGAACCGACAUCCAGUGUUCUGAAGAGUGAUCAGCUGUUUGGUGAAACGCAGCAGGACAGAUGCAGGGAUGGAGGAUUUAUGGAGCUGCCUGUCCCGGUGAAUUAACGCUGUAUUUGUAGCAAGGAACUGCACCUCCUAUCAUCACAAUCUGCACGUUUUUGCACCAAACAUCACUAUAAACAUGCUCUUUCACGCAUAUUUAUAGCUGUACAUUGUAAGUAAACACUCACUUUUCUGUCUUUAACCUGUUGUUUGAAUAAAAAUGUAAUUUUUGUGUCAGAGUAAAGAAAAAGGAGUCAAAUUCAUUGUCCUCAAGUGACCUAAAACCCCCCCGGAAAGAUUUGAAAUUGUCCAAAAUGACAACAAUGAGUAAUUAUUGGCUUUUGAAAAGGGAAAAACAUGCAGAAUUUUCAAAUUAAAUUGGUGUUAUGUCUCUAUAAAUUCCUGUAAGUGUGUAUAUAUAUGAAUGGAUCAAUUUUUCUACUAAAAUACAGUCUUUGGUCGACAUUUCACCAACUUUUGAGGCUCUAACAUCAGUAAAAUUUGAUGUGUGAAAAGUUUGACCAGACAAGGUUCCAGUUUUUAAAUAUUUAGACUUUAAAUUUUUCCUGAAUGACUCAAAAUUGAAUAAAAUAUGUUAAAAACUGUCAAAAAAAUUCCCCAAAAAUAGUCCAAAAUUACUCAAAAUUUGUCCAGUAAAAUAUAAAGAUUGUCAAAUACUCUAAAUAUUUUCAAAAAUGUCUUGAAACUUGGCAAAAGUGACUCCAAGUUGUCCAUAAUGACUUGAAAUCUAUUAAAGAUUACUAUAAUUUGACCAAAAUGUCUUGAAAUGUGUCCAUGUGAAAUGCUGCUGGCUGACUUCAGUUCAGCAUUUAACACUAUCAUCCUCCAGCAGCUGGUCAGCAAACUGAGUCCACUGGGUAUCAGCACCUCCAUGUGCAACUGGCUGCUAGACUUCCUCACCAACAGACCACAGUCGGUGAGAGUGAGAAACACCAUCUCCAGCUCCAUCUCUUUCUCCAUUGGAUCCCCACAGGGAUGUGUUCUGAGCCCACUACCGUUUGCUGCUGAUGCAUGACUGCUGCUCUGCAUCUGCCUCGCACCACAUCGUUAAGUAUGUAGAUACAACAGUAGUGGGUCUCAUUCGGGACAAUAACAAUCUGUCCUACAGAGAGAAGGUGAAGCGGCUGGUGGACUGGUGCAGCGUGAACAAUCUGCUCCUGAACGUCGAGAAGACCAAGGAGUUAGUCAUCGACUUCAGGAGGAAGCAGCCCAGUCAUUCACCUCUCAUCAUUGACAAUAAAGCUGUGGAGGUGGUCAGCAGCACCAAAUUUCUGGGUGAACACAUCAUGGACAGUCUGGACUGGUCAUUACACACAUCAUCUCUGGACAAACGGGCUCAGCAACGUCUGCACUUCCUGCGACGGAUGAAGAGAGCACAGCUGUCCUCUCCCAUCCUGACCACCUUCUACAGAAGCACCAUAGAGAGCUGCUGACCAGCUGCAUCUCCAUCUGGUUUGGCAGCUCCAGGGCCUCAGAUAGGAGGUCGCUGCAGAGGGUGGUGAGGACGACAGAGAAGAUCGUGGGGACCUCUCUUCCAUCCAUCCAGGAUGUUGCACACAAGUGAUGUCUCAGCAGAGCCUGCAACAUUAUCAUAGACUCCACACACCCCCAUCAUGGACUGUUCUCCUGUUUCCCUCUGGGAGGAGGUUCUGCAGCAUCAGAACGAGAACAGCCAGGUUCUGGAACAGUUUCAUCCCCCAAGCCAUCAGACUCUUGAACUCACAAUAAUCCUUCUGGGCAUCCGUUGUCACUACGAAUACAUAACUGCUGCUACUUUUGUGUGUGUGUGUGUG